AAGGCCCACAACAUGAAGAUGGGCAGAGGUUUAGCUGAAGGGAAAGAAAAAUAUAUUCUUGUACUGCUGGAUUUUCCUGUCUGAAUGAGUGGGAAACAGCUCUGCGGCUUGCUUGCUGGAAAGCUGCAGGACCUGGAAGAAGGGAUAGGCACAUGUCAGACAGAUGUACUCAGAUCAGGAACUUCCCUUGAUCAAACAUCUGCCUGUGGAUACACAGACCAUGCCAACUGCUUGCAGGCUUCGCCAAAGGGGAACACCCAGCUUUGGGGUCUAGAAACAUCGGCCCUUACUCACUGCGCUGUUUUUUCAUGAAAAGGCCAAAUGUAUUCUUUCCAGCAGAGGGCAGCAGACAUGUGGCAACGUAUGACCAGAACAAGGAGAAAAUUAUGAAAUUAAUUGUAGCAAAUGUGAAAUCCUAGAUGCACAUAAGCCAGGUUCUGAGUUAAACUCAUGAAAUGCUUUUCAGAUUAGAGAUAUUACUGUACAGUUCGAUUUUGACACCAAGUUCUCCAGCAGAAAGGAGAGACAUCCGACAGAAGAGCAGCCCAUGGCAAGACAAAACUGUCAAAGAAAGAAGGAAGAGAAAACAAUCCAACUGACUGUUUCCUUGCAACGCAUCCUUUCCCUGGGAAGAUGAGAAGCUGCAUUUCAGCUGCUGUAGAGAAAGCACAAGCCAGAUGUGGAGUUCAGUGCCAGUGCAUCGACUCACAGGACAGAAUGUGUGCACAGGAGGUGUCAAAGCCCAGAAGUGCAGCAGCACAGAAGAGAUUAUGAGGUUCUUUCUUCUCCUCCACUUGGAUGCUUCAAGCAGUGAAGCUAAAGCAGCACAGGCAGAGCGGCAGAAUAUGGCAUCCUUAAUGCCUAGCGGCCUAGCAGAUUAAUUGUGCAACCACUGUCCCCCACUUUUCCUGCAUAUUAAAGUGGGGCUAAUGAGUCAUUAAUUGCAGUCUGCUUGGAAGAAUGGGUUGUUUGUUCAGCACUUUGAAAUCAUAAAUCAAUAUAUACUGCAAAUACGAUGUGCCACCUACAGCUUCAUUCAACAGAGAGCAGCAUUGGACAGGAAAAAAAUGAUGCCUCUCCCUGGCUCAUAAUGCUGCCCUCUGUAGAACCAGGUGGUGUGGAUGACUCCUUGGUGUCUGUCUGGAGAAUAAGUGUGAUGGAAGAGGGCUUUUCCACCAUCUCCUGUGGGCAAAGUGAGCAAACCUAAAUGAAGUAAGAGGAGGAUAUAAAUGGUGAUCACCUGAAUCAUUUUGGCUUCCAUAGAUAUGACUAUUCAUUUAGUAAGCCGAUGACACAAAUAUUUUCUUUGGCACUCCAAGGUCCUCUACAGGCGUAUUAGGCAGUAUUUUCAGAGAAGCAUUUAAAAAA
This is a long non-coding RNA of Lagopus leucura (white-tailed ptarmigan), 1368 nucleotides long. RefSeq lists it as uncharacterized. Lineage: Eukaryota; Metazoa; Chordata; Aves; Galliformes; Phasianidae. The record is from RefSeq and is a predicted model, not a curated record. The transcript has 4 exons.